AACGGCCAUGCCAUGCUGAAUAUAUCGGUUCUCGUUAGAUCACCGAAGUCAAAACAUCAUUGGGCGCGGUCAGUACUUGGGUGGGUGACCACCUGGGAACACCGCGUGCCGUU
Molecule: ribosomal RNA, 113 nt
Filed under: Caerostris extrusa
Lineage: Eukaryota; Metazoa; Arthropoda; Arachnida; Araneae; Araneidae
Source: RNAcentral